RNAcentral lists this long non-coding RNA (255 nucleotides) under Helianthus annuus (common sunflower). RNAcentral describes it as "hypothetical non coding rna". The record is from RNAcentral. Lineage: Eukaryota; Viridiplantae; Streptophyta; Magnoliopsida; Asterales; Asteraceae.
GGGAAACAAGAAAAGAAGCUAACAUUCAUGCUUCAGGAUUUAGAGUUUGGAAGCAAAUAUAUGUUACUCUUUGGGAUGCUUAUGCUGAACAGAUUUUGGAGUUUGAAAGGGACAACCAAGAUGAAAAAAAUGUUGUUGUAAUUGUCCAAUUCGGAAAAUACAGGUUCUGGGGAGGGUUUCUUUAUGUUUCAAAUCUCUACACUGUCACUCGCGUGUUGAUCAACGCUGAAAUUGAUGACAUUUUAACUUUUAAGA